RNAcentral lists this ribosomal RNA (253 nucleotides) under uncultured bacterium. Its description in RNAcentral is "partial 16S ribosomal RNA". It matches the Rfam family "Bacterial small subunit ribosomal RNA", at positions 524 to 776 of the family's 1533-position model. The record is from RNAcentral.
UACGUAGGGUGCAAGCAUUGUCCGGAAUUAUUGGGCGUAAAGAGCUUGUAGGCGGUUUGUCGCGUCUGCUGUGAAAUUUCGGGGCUCAACCCCGAACUUGCAGUGGGUACGGGCAGACUAGAGUGUGGUAGGGGAGACUGGAAUUCCUGGUGUAGCGGUGAAAUGCGCAGAUAUCAGGAGGAACACCGAUGGCGAAGGCAGGUCUCUGGGCCAUAACUGACGCUGAGAAGCGAAAGCAUGGGGAGCGAACAGG